Molecule: ribosomal RNA, 465 nt
Filed under: uncultured bacterium
Lineage: Bacteria
Description: bacterial SSU rRNA
Rfam family: Bacterial small subunit ribosomal RNA
Source: RNAcentral
AAUCAACGCUGGCGGCGUGCCUCAGACAUGCAAGUCGAACGAUUAAAGCUCUCUUCGGAGAGUGCAUAGAGUGGCGCACGGGUGAGUAACACGUAAGUAAUCUACCCUCGAGUGGGGAAUAACGUCCGGAAACGGACGCUAAUACCGCAUAAUGCAGCGGCACCGCAAGGUGACAGUUGUUAAAGAUUUAUCGCUUGAGGAGGAGCUUGCGGCAGAUUAGCUAGUUGGUAAGGUAAUGGCUUACCAAGGUUACGAUCUGUAACCGGUCUAAGAGGACGGUCGGUCACACUGACACUGAAUAACGGGUCAGACUCCUACGGGAGGCAGCAGUCGGGAAUUUUGGGCAAUGGGCGAAAGCCUGACCCAGCAACGCCGCGUGAAGGAUGAAGUAUUUCGGUAUGUAAACUUCGAAAGAAUAGGAAGAAUAAAUGACGGUACUAUUUAUAAGGUCCGGCUAACUACGUG